CCAUUGACUGUUUUCUUGGAUUUUCCUUGCCUUCAUCAGGAAAAAGGUGUUGCUCAAGAGUCCUUUGUUUAUCUUCAGAUAACUUCCCAACUUCUUUAAGCAGAAACAACCAUCUUCUCAGCAACAAAACCCUCUCAGGACCUCUACAAGACACAGCAGCCUCCUCCAGUCUCUUUACAGUUUGUUUAAUGCUUCUGAAAGUUCGAUUACCCU
RNAcentral lists this long non-coding RNA (213 nucleotides) under Jatropha curcas. Its description in RNAcentral is "long non-coding RNA (JCUR_LNC001725)". The record is from RNAcentral. Lineage: Eukaryota; Viridiplantae; Streptophyta; Magnoliopsida; Malpighiales; Euphorbiaceae.